GCCGAAGUGGCGGAACUGGCAGACGCACUAGAUUCAGGGUCUAGCGGGGGUGACCCCGUCCGGGUUCAAAUCCCGGCUUCGGCACCA
This 87-nucleotide transfer RNA is filed under the name Nitrospirota bacterium. RNAcentral's name for it is "Nitrospirae bacterium tRNA-Leu". It matches the Rfam family "tRNA". From Rfam's summary of the family: Transfer RNA (tRNA) molecules are approximately 80 nucleotides in length. Their secondary structure includes four short double-helical elements and three loops (D, anti-codon, and T loops). RNAcentral also lists the same sequence under 1 other name. Lineage: Bacteria; Pseudomonadati; Nitrospirota. The record is from RNAcentral.